UUAGGUAGAGGAGCUGUUAAUAAUAGUAAUUAUGAAGAGUUGGCAAACGAAGAAGCAUAAUGAAAGGGUUAAUAGCCGAAGAAAUAAAUAAAAGCAAGAAUUUAUUUCUGGGGAUGUAUAAAAUAUAUGCAUCACUGUCACGUAAGUGGAGAGCUACA
Molecule: non-coding RNA, 158 nt
Filed under: Clostridium septicum
Lineage: Bacteria; Bacillati; Bacillota; Clostridia; Eubacteriales; Clostridiaceae
Description: Lysine riboswitch
Rfam family: Lysine riboswitch aptamer
About the family: Riboswitches are metabolite binding domains within certain messenger RNAs that serve as precision sensors for their corresponding targets. Allosteric rearrangement of mRNA structure is mediated by ligand binding, and this results in modulation of gene expression.
Source: RNAcentral